GACGAACGCUGGCGGCGUGCUUAACACAUGCAAGUCGAGCGGUAAGGCCCUUUCGGGGGUACACGAGCGGCGAACGGGUGAGUAACACGUGGGUGACCUGCCCUCAGCUCUGGGAUAAGCCUGGGAAACCGGGUCUAAUACUGGAUAUGACUCCAUGACGCAUGUUGUGGGGUGGAAAGCCUUGUGCGGCUGAGGAUGGGCCCGCGGCCUAUCAGCUUGUUGGUGGGGUGANGGCCUACCAAGGCGACGACGGGUAGCCGGCCUGAGAGGGCGACCGGCCACACUGGGACUGAGACACGGCCCAGACUCCUACGGGAGGCAGCAGUGGGGAAUCUUGCGCAAGUGGGACGAAAGCCUGACGCAGCGACGCCGCGUGAGGGAUGACGGCCUGGUU
RNAcentral lists this ribosomal RNA (394 nucleotides) under uncultured bacterium. Its description in RNAcentral is "bacterial SSU rRNA". It matches the Rfam family "Bacterial small subunit ribosomal RNA", at positions 28 to 424 of the family's 1533-position model. The record is from RNAcentral.